AUAAACGUUCGGAGCAAAUAAUUUAAGAAAUAACACACGUUUUUAUUACUGCAAGUCCGCGCCAUCUCAGACAAUCCAUUUAAGAUAUUUGUAACCUCUAUAAGCCUACCUAAGUUAAACUUUUCACCGUAUGACACAGCAACCAUACAGUGGAGAGGAUGAACGUGCAAGUGUUUCGUAAUAACAAGUUAAUAAGCAGUUUACACAGCUAAUCAUGACUGACAGUUUUCCAUAUUUAAUUUAUGACAUCAUUAUGCAGGCCUCUAUGCCUGCGGGUACAAGCAGUAGCCAACUCCUGAAAAGUGCAGUGCACUUCAGAUAGGCUAAGUGCAUUACCGUUUUUCUCAGGGAUGUAGGCCUAACGAUUCACCGCAUCAGUCCCAGAUUCAAAUGUUUAAGAUAGAUAGAAGAGCAUCGGUCGUCGGACCUCAAAUCGAUCCAAAUGUAGCAUGCAUCGGUCCAAAAAUAUAUUCUAAAAAGUUACGAAUCACCGGUUCACAUUAUUUUUUUUUUGCUCAUAUAAUUUUGUGACAACUGAUACGUCCUCUCCUUCAGUGUCGAACUGUAUGUAAUUGUAUUGACACGUCUCUGAUCUACAACUCAUUUUGCUUGCCGAACAACCCAGUGCAAUAUCAGUAGCGUCGUCAAACUAUGCACUGUGCCCAGUUUCCUGGACCGUUCAGCAUUCAAACGCUAAAAUGGCUUCCAUGAUAUUAAGCUUUAUUAGGCGAUUGACAACCUAUGCAAAUUGCUAGGUUAUUGUUAUCUAAGCCCUGUUAAAAAUGUAUUUUACCGGAAUAAAAGUAAGCUACAGGAGAACUCAUCUGACUAUACCUGCUGAAUGGGGCUUACAAUAUAAUUUAUUUGGAGUGUUCAAGUUCACCAUCAGCAAUACAUUUCGUAGUGUGCCCUUUAAACAAUCAGUGUAUAUGGUACUUUUUUUUUUAGAUAUAUAUGGUAACGUUGAUAAUUUCACAAAGAGGACAGCAAUCACUUUUGCGAGGCACACUGCGUGGCAGAAGCCAGAGAAGAAAAAGUGGGUGAGAGUCUGAGGGACUGACAAGAGAAACUAGGAUGAGUGAAUGUUCAGUGAUGUUGAGCUAGGUGUAUUUUAGGUGCACUAAGUGCAAAUACCUGCAUGCUAUACUGAUGAUAAUGUUGCCUACAUUAUCUGCUCUCGUUCCUUUCCCCCUGGCUAAGUCUCUCUAUUAAUAAACGCUUCUAACCGAUAAACAGAAUUUAUUUUCUACGUGUUGUCUUCACAAGAAGGGCCUCACAGGGAACUUGUCUGACUCCAUUCUAAAUAGAUGGAGAGAUUUUAUUCAUGCUUUGACCUCCUAGGUCUGAAUUCAACCCAUAUAAUGAUCAUCAGACUUGAAUAAAGGGUUAAAUAGAACUUAAGUACGAGGUCCAUUCAUGGUUGUACUGGUUUUUGCUUCCAUAAGCUUUAAGGUGACACGUUUUUGCCAUGGAAGUAAUAACACACAGGCAGAUUGUGUGUGUUGAAUGGGUGGAAAUCAACCUCUACCUUGUUACGCCCCAAACCAGGCCCUUCUCAACUCAGAGAACUCUAGUGGCUAACGGUUGAUAAAAGGGUUGUUCAAUUGAAGUUGGGAUUGACCCACAAAAUCUUAUAUGGCACAGUCCCCAAGUAUCCAAUUUUUUUUUUCUCAGUUAGGGACUCUUCGGACGCCAGGAGAGGCAGAGCCAUAGACUUUGUGCAUUGUCGAUUUAAGAGUUGUACUGGUCAGAACAUGUUUUAUAUAUGGCAGUGGUAGAGUGGAUAAAACUACUGGCUGCGAUUAAAACUGUUUCUGCCAGUCAUAGGUUCAAACACUCCUGCAAGGCUUGGUUAAUGAUGAGAUAACCUUCUAGUGUUAACAACCCCGUAAAUGUUUUUUUAAUUUUUUAUUAACAACUCGGUGCGUAUAUUUGCUUUUUUUUUAUACUGUGUAUGUAAAUACUUUAUCUAUGGUUGA
Molecule: long non-coding RNA, 1979 nt
Filed under: Oncorhynchus mykiss (rainbow trout)
Lineage: Eukaryota; Metazoa; Chordata; Actinopteri; Salmoniformes; Salmonidae
Description: lncRNA (ENSOMYG00000064414.1)
Source: RNAcentral